GAUCCUUUUUUGGGUGGCGUUCCCGAUAGGAGUCUGCGUAUCCGGACAGUGGGGCGCCUCUCAAACUCGGGCCCCGGCGGCGUCCAGGGGUGCGGAGGAAUGCGUUACUGUCCCCGCUUAUGACUCCUGCCGUGGGAAAACAAACUUCAAAACGGACGCGGUUUGCCACGUAACAUGUCAUGGAUUGCAUUAGCGUCGCACGGGCAAUUCCAUCACCUAAUGUGCUAAAGUUGGCUCAAAUGUUCCCCACUCUGCAAGAAGCAGAUGAGUUCAUUACGAUUUCACCCUAAUAAAGAAAACCUGCUUGAUUUUGACAAGACAUCGACUUAUCUAAUCGUCUCCUAAAUAACAAAGCUGCUUCCCGCCCGUAAAACACGCUCCCGAACACCGGCUUUACCUGGACUGCUUCUAAAUUAAUGAAAAACACUCGAAUCCAAAGAGAGCAAAAGAAGAAGGGGGGGGGGCGGUGGAGAGAUGGAAUUCAAGGGAUUUUUGAAAAUGUGACUGAUUUUGAAAAGAACGAGUUUUGAAAUGUUUACUUUGUGGUGGUUUGAAAUUUUUACAUCUUUCAACAAAGCGCGCGGGGAAGUGAAACCAUCUGAAAGGGCUUUUGAAAAGAGCGAUUCAGCACCAGCCGGACGAGGCUGUGGUUCCUUUAUCUCGGGCAAUCUGUGCCCAUCGUGCAGGAGGCAGGCCCAGCCCUUUCCCCCCUCCGCUCCGCCUGAGCUCUGAGGCUGCCUGGGCCUGGGCUUCAAAGCGCUCUUGGCCGAGUGUCCUGGGAGGGAAUCAGACACCGCACUCCGGGGACGCGCUGCCGGCUCGCUCUUAUCCUUGAGCACGACCGCCUGAUGCGGUCAUCUUGUUAGUCAUGGAAAGCCCGGGGUCUUUCUGUGUGUACCGCUUUCAGCACUUAUUAAGCAAAAAGUGGGAGGCUUUACGCAAAACUGCAAAAGAUGUUUUUUCUCCCCAGGGCCACAGCAGUUGGGGCCACGGCUUAUCCAUCAUUGCAAAGAUCUCUCCGAGAGAAAUGAAACAAGUCAGCUCUGCCCAGAGGGGGAGAAAGCUGAACGGCGCAUGGGGCCGCCCGUCCCAGGACCUUCUUGGCUUGGCUCCUGUGGAAGGGCGUGGGCUCCUUCGUCUGAAAACUGCCAAGGGAAUGCAGCCACACGGCUUAAGAGAAAUGGCGCAUCCCUGUGGUUUGGUGUCCAAGUGGACCAUUCAGGACGCUCAACUCAGAUUCCUUCCCAAACUUUGUCCAGCUCCAAGACCAACAGGGGGCUUCCACUGCAGAGGUCCAGACACCUGCACAGAUGUGUCCCUGCUGGGGGGAGGGGGUGGUGGUGAAGGUGGAAACACCGUUUCUAAGCAGCUCCUUAGAAGUGAACAAAUUCUGGUACCUCCGCGUUGUCUCGGGAACCUGCCUCUUUCCUGCCGUCUGUGCUCCCAUCCUCCCAGUGGGGGGGCUGUGGAUUCUCCAACAGGCCCAGGUAGAAUUCUGAGGUCAUCGGAGUCCCUCCUUCAAGCCUCAGUUCUAUCAGUAUCAAACUUCUGGGGAGACUUCAGGGGAAGCAGCAAGUUUGAGCCAAGAACGCAGAAUUGGAAUUCUCUGAUAAAUCCCUCCCAGCUGAGCCGGGAGGGUCUGUAGUUGGCUCAGCAAGCAGGGACGGCAGGAAGGGGCUGGUGCUGGGAAACUUCAAACAGACCUGGGGUGGCGGGGAGGCUGUGCUGAGGGAGGAGGCCACCGACAGAGGGCUCAGUUAAUUAAAGAGAUGCGUGGGCACACCUAUAGGCUCAGCCCUCUUGGUGUUAAAGCGCCAGCAACUCAAGUUCUGUGCAGGGACUCCCUCCCCCAGGGGGAGGCCUGGAAGCGGGGGAAGCCUCGAGCCACAUUUAGGAUGGACAUUUGCAGUCUUCUGGAAAGCCCCAGCCAGGGGUCCUUGGCCCUUCCACCAAGAGUUCCAAGGGAGCCGAGACUGUUUAAAAGCCUCCUUAAGCAUCAAGGGGUCUCCUGUGUUGCAGGCACUGGGCUGCACAUCACCUGGGAGAGGUAGGGGUCAUCAUAUCUCCCAUUUUACAGAUGAGGGAAGUAAGGCUCAGAAGUCACCAGCUCAAGUGCCUAUGGCUGGUGUGUGGGAGAGGCCCGGCUGGAGCUAGGAUUCUCUGACUUAUGCCACUGGCUGGAGCUGGGGACAGGACAGAGACCAGCAAAGGACAGGUGAUGGCUGCUUCCAUCCGGCCCUCACCUUGGCCCGCCCUUCACACUGUCCUUGACAUUCAAUCAGGUGCCUGUGAUGUCUGGCCCAGAGGUUGGGGCUGGGCCUCCCCAGCUUCCCAGCGACAAAUGGUUCUCAUUUGAAAGGGAGGUUAUAAAAACACAUGCCCAGAGACACUGUCAGGGAACUGAGGAUUAAUCUCAUUUCAGUCAAAGACCAUUCCAAAUAUUUUGGGGGUGGAAUGGGGCGGGCAGCAGCCUGGGUUGGGAAGGAAGUCAGGGAUCCUGGUGUGGCCCUCGGGUCAGCCGGUUCAGAGGCACGUUGGGAUGUGGGCUGGUGGGGG
This 2556-nucleotide long non-coding RNA is filed under the name Equus caballus (horse). RNAcentral describes it as "lncRNA (ENSECAG00000051029.1)". Lineage: Eukaryota; Metazoa; Chordata; Mammalia; Perissodactyla; Equidae. The record is from RNAcentral.